GCUGAUUGGAGGGCUCAAGGAAAGUUAUUGGUACGUGGGGAGAAGAAGUUUUGCUGUGUUGCUGUAAGAUUACUACCAGGGGAAGCUAAAUCCCAGCUCUAGAGAGGUUUUCGAACUACCUGGGGCUGAGUUGGUGACCCGGGAGACUAGUUUGGAAGGUGUUCCAACUGAGGCGAGAGUGCGAUCGACUCUUGGAGUGACUUUAGCUGACUUGUGAGAACUCUUGAAGACUCAACUUGAGGAUUGGGACCUCGUUGGACUGAUUAUUGGGACAUUUUGUGACUGAGUUGAGCUUAGUAUGAGGUGGGUUUGACCUAACCAGAACAAGUGGAGCUUCCCUAUGUUCUAUAUGUGCUAUAGACUUAAUACCGUUGUAUGAUUCCGUGAGUGUUAUAGAACU
Molecule: long non-coding RNA, 400 nt
Organism: Ananas comosus (pineapple)
Lineage: Eukaryota; Viridiplantae; Streptophyta; Magnoliopsida; Poales; Bromeliaceae
Exons: 4
Source: RefSeq, a predicted model, not a curated record